UCGUUAGGCAAAUGAUGUCGAAAAGAUUUAAAAUUUGAUUUCUAAACACUUCAAAUGGUAUAGAUCAUGUUCAACGGUGUCGAUCGUUGAUUUGAAGGCUCUAUCAUCGGAAACAAAUGGGUGGCAACGGAGCCUAUUUACUAUCGAUAGUAUUCUAGCUCAACUCUAUGAGUCCGGCUACUAUACUCUUAUGAGUAUAGAACCUAUUAUACUCAUAAGUUUUUGGCCGUUAGAUCUACCCUUUAAUUAUUUUCACCUGUUAAAUUAUACUAUUCAAUCAACCACCCACUCAACCCUAGGGGCUCACUAUUAACUUAACUGUAACCACUUUCAUCAUAACCACACAUUUUUUUCAUCUAAAAAGUGGCUCCCACCAAAUCUGUUGGUGUGGUAUUUUAUUCCGCAUAGCACUUAUGUAACGACCCAGUCCACUAGCAACAAUAACUCGUUGGGCCCAACAACUGGCCCAAAAUGCUUAAGCCCAGUUGUUAUUACUAGUGUUUAAGUCUCUUAUAAACCCAAUGACAACCUCAUUCCCAUCCGAUGUGGGACUAGUGUCACAGACUCCCCCCGUUAAGGCCCUGACGUCCUCGUCAGUCCAAUCACACACAGCCCAAGAUCACCAUGCGAUGUGAGACUCAUCUCGCUAGCCCGUCAUCCAGACCCUCGCUCAGCCGAGACUCGUCACACAUGUCCAGCUGGUGAACCGGCUCUGAUACCAAAUGUAACGACCCAGCCCACUAGCAACAAUAACUCGUUGGGCCCAACAACUGGCCCAAAAUGCUUAAGCCCAGUUAUUAUUACUAGUGUUUAAGUCUCUUAUAAACCCAAUGACAACCCCAUUCCCAUCCGAUGUGGGACUAUUGGGGUGUCACAACUUAGCUCUCACACUUUCGGCUUGUAUUUGGCUUUGAUACAAAUUAUAACGACCCGACCCAAUGGCAACAAUAAUUCGUUGGGCCCAAACCACCGACCAAAAUACUUAAGUUCAGUUAUUAUUACUAGCGUGUAGCCCUCAUAUAUUUUAAUCAGAAUUAUUUUUCCAGCCGAUGUGGGACUAUUGGGGCGUUACAACUACAAUGUGCAACUUGUCAUGCUAGUUUUAACUGACUUGUGGGAAUUCGCACUCUACUCCCAAUGGCCGGCUGAGCCCCGUUCUGCACGCUGUAUAACCAUAGUUUAAUCGAGACCCAUAUCACAUUUCUGAUUAAUUAUUGAAUUUAAUACUAAAGUAUAAUGCUCUG
This 1244-nucleotide long non-coding RNA is filed under the name Ananas comosus (pineapple). RNAcentral's name for it is "long non-coding RNA (ACOM_LNC016850)". Lineage: Eukaryota; Viridiplantae; Streptophyta; Magnoliopsida; Poales; Bromeliaceae. The record is from RNAcentral.